This 200-nucleotide long non-coding RNA is filed under the name Gossypium raimondii (Peruvian cotton). Its description in RNAcentral is "long non-coding RNA (GRAI_LNC007652)". Lineage: Eukaryota; Viridiplantae; Streptophyta; Magnoliopsida; Malvales; Malvaceae. The record is from RNAcentral.
AAUUUAAUUUUUUUUGCUUAUUUUUAUUGUGUUUUUACUUUUCUUAAUUUCUUUUAUUUAUUUUAUAUUCAGAUUUAAUCCCCUUCUUUAAUUUCACAGAUUAAUAUAAUUUUUUGUUGUAAGAAAUAAUAAAAUUGAACAGUCCAAUCUCUAUGCGAUCAACCCUACUCUCUAUACUACAAAUUUAAUUUUCAGUUGUA